GUUCACUGCCAUGCAGGCAGCUUAGAAA
This 28-nucleotide non-coding RNA is filed under the name Moraxellaceae bacterium. Lineage: Bacteria; Pseudomonadati; Pseudomonadota; Gammaproteobacteria; Moraxellales; Moraxellaceae. The record is from RNAcentral.